GAUGAACGCUGGCGGCGUGCCUAAUACAUGCGAGUCGAGCGAACGGACGAGAAGCUUGCUUUUCUGAUGUUAGCGGCGGACGGGUGAGUAACACGUGGAUAACCUACCUAUAAGACUGGGAUAACUUCGGGAAACCGGAGCUAAUACCGGAUAAUAUUUUGAACCGCAUGGCUCAAAAGUGAAAGACGGUCUUGCUGUCACUUAUAGAUGGAUCCGCGCUGCAUUAGCUAGUUGGUAAGGUAACGGCUUACCAAGGCAACGAUGCAUAGCCGACCUGAGAGGGUGAUCGGCCACACUGGAACUGAGACACGGUCCAGACUCCUACGGGAGGCAGCAGUAGGGAAUCUUCCGCAAUGGGCGAAAGCCUGACGGAGCAACGCCGCGUGAGUGAUGAAGGUCUUCGGAUCGUAAAACUCUGUUAUUAGGGAAGAACAUAUGUGUAAGUAACUGUGCACAUCUUGACGGUACCUAAUCAGAAAGCCACGGCUAACUACGUG
Molecule: ribosomal RNA, 497 nt
Filed under: uncultured bacterium
Lineage: Bacteria
Description: partial 16S ribosomal RNA
Rfam family: Bacterial small subunit ribosomal RNA
Source: RNAcentral